GUGAUCCCCCGUCGGAAACCAGCUCCCCCGGAAGUGCAGGCCGGGCGGGCCGCCGCUGUCCCCCUUGCAGGCGUCCUUGCUGCCGUCGGUGUGGCCGGCGCAGAACAUGUUGUCCGUGACCGCAGGCCCGCUGGGCCUCUGGCGUGACUGCUGCAGGCAGUCCUGGGUCAGCAGCCGGGGCACGAGCACCACCAUGAGGGCCACGGGCUGCGCCAGCUGCAGCAGCGCCACGUCGUGGUCCGUCUUGCCCGGCACGUACUGCUCAGGGACGAUGACCCGCGCCACCCGCCGCUCCUGCUCUGGGCCCUCCACGAGGCCGAGGUCGUGCUCACCUGCGGGGCACCAGGACCAUCUGCUGUCAUCCCCCUUGCGGCAUGGGCCCUGGGCUCCUUUCCUGGGAACAGGGGGCGCACGUUCCCCCCCGAGGUGGGCGGGCAUCCUCCCGGGGGCUGCCAGCAGGAGAGUCGGGGCAAAUCCGGACCCAGAGGUGCUGGAGGUGAGUGGGGGUUUGGGUGGGCAGCAUGGUAGGGGAGGAGGGGUGCCCUGGUCCCCCUGCCCCUGGGGCCCCGGUCAUCCCGUAGGCCUGCAGGGCAGAGCACCCAGGGAGAGCACCCCCGUGGGGUCCUGGCCAGAGCAGCGUCACCCGGGGCUGCGUCUGGGCAGGAGAGGCUGUGGGGGGCGGGCGCAGGGGCCCCGGGGUAUGGGGUCUGCCCACACAUUGCCUGCGUGCGGCUCUUUCUGGGAAAGUCGCCGCCGCUCACGGGAGCGGUGGUUGGAAGCCCGGAAGCUCUGUGGGACAAGGGAGGAGCCCACACCACCUACCCAGCACGGCCGUCAGGUUCCACCAGCUCCGGAGCCUGUCAAAGCAGUGGGCAGCAGAGACCACCCAGGUCGGGCCAACCAGGGUGCCCCCGCACAGCAGCGCCCCGUUCAGCUUCAGCAUGGCCUGGCGGACGUGGCACACGGCAGGGAUCACAUCAUGCUCACGGCCGCCUGGGGCUCCCCUCCCUCGCGUGGGGGCUGCCCGGGACACUGCGUCUGUCCAGAACAGGUAUUUUCCCGCACGGAUAUUCCACUGUGUGAGAUAGAAGUCAGCAGGACGUGGGUGAGACGGAGGCUGUGUGGCUGUGCCAGCGAGCGCCCUGUGUUGGCGGCUGUGCCCUCUCCUGGCUGGGGUUUCAGGGGCCCUGGGGGAGCUGCUGGGGCCGGGCGGCAGGGCCCGUGGGCCUGGGUCCUGCUGGUGUAUCCGGGGCUGGAGACAGGCAGCCCGAUGCCACCAGAGGGCCCGGGAUGUGCUGCGGGGGGUGAGCAGCAUCUCAGGCAGCCCAGCCGCUCUCCGACACUGCUCUUGGUUUCUAUCCGCCUCCGGGAAAGCCCCAGGCCAGAAAGGGCAGCAUUUGAGGUGGUCGCUCUCUUGGGGCUGCUAGACGAGGCCGCCUGCACGAUCCUCGGGAGACCAGGGCUGGUGAGGCACCUCCACCCUCCGCCCAGAGCACCCCCUCGCCUUGGCGAGGCUCAGGGAUGCUCCUCCCCCGGGGCCCACCUUUUAGCCACAGAGGACAUACAGCAGGGCAGUGGUGCUCAUCGGGAGUGGAAGCACACACCCCAGGCCUGGGCCCGGGCCCGUUACCUGUGGGCGCGCAGGACACCCCGUCUGCCUGGAGCGCAUAGCCCUCGUGGCACCAGCAGAAGCGCCCGGCCCCUGGGUCGGCCCCACAGUACUGCUCACAGCCGCCGUUCUCGUUGGCACAGAUCAGCUGGCUCUGCUUGUCUGCGGGCACAGGGCACAGCUGACGCGGCCCCUGGUCAGGGCAGGAAGCCCGGUGGCCGCCCCUCCCUGGGCCAGAGGCCAGGCCUGCGUGGAGGAAGAGGACACCCCGCAGACGACCCUGGAGGGUGAGGCCCAGGCCUGGGGGUCCCGGGCCAGGGGACACCCUGCAGACGACCCUGGAGGGUGAGGCCCGGGCCUGGGGGUCCCGGGCCAGGGGACAUUGGCCACAGGGGCGCCAGAACCCCCGCGCCAGGAAGCAGGGGAGCUGGCAGAGACGAGUGGCUUCCCCGGCUUUGCCCCGUGCCCAGAGCCCAGAAGCGGACAGGGUGUCCAGCGGGUCAGCACCCAGAACCCCGCAGCCAGGACGCUCGGGUGGAAGCCUGCGAGGGCGCCGAGGCCCCCCUCCCACCUGGUGAGUCGGCAGCCUCCCGGCCCCGCUCCUCACCCGUCUCGCAGUUCCUGCCCUCGAAGCCGUCGGGGCAGAAGCAGAUGUAGGCCUGGAGCUGGUCCUCACAGGAGCCCCCGUUCUGGCAGGGGCUGGGGGCGCUCUGCGCCUCCUCUCGAUGGGGUCGGCCAGUCACCUACUCACCAUUGUAGGAAACCCAGAACUGCCUCUGAGGGAGCAAGAGGAAGCCGCGUGAGAUGUGGGCGCCUAGGCAAGCGUUUACGUCCCUGUGGGGGAGGCGCCGGGCGGCUGGGGCUUCCGACCAGCCCUCCCAGUGGGCUCUGGAAGCCACACCGCUCCUGUGGAGACAGGUGGGUUCAUCCAGGGAAGCGAGUUUUUUCUCUAAUACCCGCCCCUCCCAUUGCUAAGGCCACAGAGGUCUGAAUCUCCUCUCCCAAGUUCCAACCCUAGGCUUCAGCACCAGCCCUGCCAUGUCGGAGCUGUGAACGUGGGUGAGACCCCACACUCCCCGAGCCUCUGGGCUGCCCCCGAUGCUGUGCUGACAGUCCAGACACCCGCUGACCAAGGAGAAUGUGGGAAAGACACGUGAAAGUGCCCUGCCAGUUCCAGGGGCCUCUUCAGUAACAGGGAUUCCCCAGGGAUCUUUAGGCCAAUGAAAAACAGCUCUGUUGCUGUGAGAACACACCAAGGUGAAAUCUGCUGGAAGGUUCUGAAAACCACAAUCCACUCCGGUUCUCCUGCCUGAGAACCAUGGACAGGCGAGCCCGGUGGCUACAGUGCGUGGGGUCGCAGAGAGGCAGACACGACUGAGCGACUCAAACACACACACAGACGCAAGGGGUGACCGUCCUUAGCGCGGCGGGGAAGGGCCGUGGGAGCCCUGCCUGCGAGUGCAGAGUGUGCGCCGUGCCAGGUGCGUGUUCCAUGCGUGUGAGACGUGUGUCGUGUGUGUGAUGCGUGUCCCAUGCCAGGUGUGGGUCCCAUGCAUGUGAGACGUGUGUCCUGUGCGUGUGAGACAUGGGUCCCAUGCGUGUGAGACGUGUGUCCUGUGUGUGAUGCGUGUCCCAUGUCAGGUGUGUAUCCCAUGCGUGUGAGACAUGUGUCCUGUGCAUGUGAGACAUGGGUCCCAUGUGUGAGACGUGUGUCCUGUGUGUGAGACGUGUCCCAUGUCAGGUGUGUAUCCCAUGCCUAUGAGACAUGUGUCCUGUGUGUGAUGCGUGUCCCGUGCCAGGUGUGGGUCCCAUGCGUGUGAGAUGUAUGUCCUGUGUGUGUGAGACGUGUGUCCUGUGUGUGAUGCAUGUCCCAUGCCAGGUGUGGGCCCCAUGCGUGUGAGACGUGUGUCCUGUGUGUGAUGCGUGUCCCGUGCCAGGUGUGGGUCCCAUGCGUGUGAGAUGUAUGUCCUGUGUGUGUGAGACGUGUGUCCUGUGUGUGAUGCAUGUCCCAUGCCAGGUGUGGGCCCCAUGCGUGUGAGACGUGUGUCCUGUGUGUGAUGCGUGUCCCGUGCCAGGUGUGGGUCCCAUGCGUGUGAGAUGUAUGUCCUGUGUGUGUGAGACGUGUGUCCUGUGUGUGAUGCAUGUCCCAUGCCAGGUGUGGGCCCCAUGCGUGUGAGACGUGUGUCCUGUGUGUGAUGCGUGUCCCGUGCCAGGUGUGGGUCCCAUGCGUGUGAGAUGUAUGUCCUGUGUGUGUGAGACGUGUGUCCUGUGUGUGAUGCGUGUCCCAUGCCAGGUGUGGGUCCCAUGCGUGUGAGACGUGUGUCCCAUGUGGGGUGUCCCUCGAGUGUGUGGGGAGAGGGGGUCCUGUCCCCGCUCCAGCGAGCCCGGCCGCAGCUCCUCCAGGAACCCGUUGGCACGCCGGGGCCGAUGCAGGACGCUGAGGGCCUGCUCCUGGGGCAGGAAGACUGGGGGGCACGCUGUGAGACACGGGGGCGACGGCACCAUCCCCCCACCUGUAACAGCACCUCCCCACCACCCUGCCCCCCCAUGAUGCGAUCACAGGCCCCUGCCCCC
RNAcentral lists this long non-coding RNA (4183 nucleotides) under Ovis aries (sheep). RNAcentral's name for it is "lncRNA (ENSOARG00000026341.1)". The record is from RNAcentral. Lineage: Eukaryota; Metazoa; Chordata; Mammalia; Artiodactyla; Bovidae.